UGGGGACGUAGCUCAGCCUGGGAGAGCGUCCCGUUCGCAUCGGGAAGGUCGGGGGUUCGAUUCCCCUCGUCUCCAU
This 76-nucleotide transfer RNA is filed under the name Candidatus Scalindua rubra. RNAcentral's name for it is "tRNA-Ala". It matches the Rfam family "tRNA". From Rfam's summary of the family: Transfer RNA (tRNA) molecules are approximately 80 nucleotides in length. Their secondary structure includes four short double-helical elements and three loops (D, anti-codon, and T loops). Further hydrogen bonds mediate the characteristic L-shaped molecular structure. tRNAs have two regions of fundamental functional importance: the anti-codon, which is responsible for specific mRNA codon recognition, and the 3' end, to which the tRNAs corresponding amino acid is attached (by aminoacyl-tRNA synthetases). tRNAs cope with the degeneracy of the genetic code in two manners: having more than one tRNA (with a specific anti-codon) for a particular amino acid; and 'wobble' base-pairing, i.e. permitting non-standard base-pairing at the 3rd anti-codon position. Lineage: Bacteria; Pseudomonadati; Planctomycetota; Candidatus Brocadiia; Candidatus Brocadiales; Candidatus Scalinduaceae. The record is from RNAcentral.